Molecule: long non-coding RNA, 1237 nt
Filed under: Olea europaea subsp. europaea
Lineage: Eukaryota; Viridiplantae; Streptophyta; Magnoliopsida; Lamiales; Oleaceae
Source: RNAcentral
UGGUCUUCUCUUUUAGUUUUGUUCAAGCAAGAAUUGUCGAAUUCUUGUAUUUUUCUCCAUAUUGUUGAUUAAUAAAAAGUCGUGCUUCUGCGAUUAACUCUCUUUGUUAAUUCUACACUUUUAAAUCUUGUUUAUCGUUAUGAUCUUCAUUAUUUCAUAUCGCAUCAUUAAUCUCAUUCACUACAAUCCUUCCGAAUCCAACAAGUGGCAUUGGAGCUUAGUUCUUCUUCUGAUGAUCGGUUGAGGGUUUUUCAGAGAUGACUACCAUAAAAUAUGAAAUUUCACUGUUGGAUCGCAAUAUAAGAUUUUCUUUGUGACAAGUAAACAUGAGGGCUAUUCUAACGCAGUUGGAUUUGGACGAUGCGCUACUGGCUUUGAGAAAAUACCAACUAAUGGGACAACGGAAGAGAAAACAACGGAGGGAUCGGAAAGCUUUGUCGUUGAUUAAUCUUCAUCUAUCCAAUAAUAUUCUAUAGGAUGUCUUGAAGGAGAAAAUAACAGCUUCUUUGUAGUUGAAAUUGGAGCAGUUAUGUAUGACCAAGAAUCUUACCAGCAAACUGGCUCUAAAGCAGAAGGUGUGUUCCCAUCGCAUGGCAGAAGGAGAGUCGUUGGAAGGCCAUAUUGUCAUGUUCAAGGAAAUUAUCGCAGAUUUGAAAACGUCAAAGGUUAAGUACAAUGAAGAGGAUCUUGCAUUGAUCCUUUCAUAUUCGCUGCUUGGCUCUUAUGUAUCGUUUCAGGACACUAUUUUGUAUAGUUAGGAUACUUUGACUAUAGACGAUAUCUAUAAUACUUUACAUUCAAAGGAGAAGUUGAAACUUUAGGUUGGAGCCACAUCGAGGGAUGAGGAAGCUCUUAUAUCUCAUGGUGGUCGACGGAGGGGAAGAUUGAAGAAUAACAGCAAUUUGUCUUACUUCUAUUGUAGAUGUAAGGGACAUAUUCAGAAGGAUUGUGAUAAAUUGCAAACUAAAGAUGAUUUAGCUACAAAUUGUAGAGCGCAACCUUUAACUUUAGAUGAAACAAAUGUAGUUGAGGAUUUUUCAAACGACGAAGAUGUGAAGUUGACCAUGGUAUCGAACAUAGAAUCUAAGCCUGACGAGGAGGGGAUUCUUGAUUUGGCAUGUUCGCAUCAUAUGUGUUCUAAUCAGAAUUUCUUUCAGACAUAUGAGACUAUCAAGAAAGGUGAAGUUGUGAUGGGAAACAACUAGUUUUGUCGUGUUAAUGGAAUUGGUUGAGUCAG